GGUUGUCACUGCUAAAAAUGUAUCCUUUUAAUUUGAUUCAGGCACAAGCAGCAUCUGAAGAAUACAGAGAACUUCACUUAGAAGUCACAUGGAACUCAGAAUGAAAGAUCUUGAAUCUGAAGUCUCCAACAGGAAAACUUCUUGAGAAGUCUUUCAUUAUAUUGAAUUGGGAAAAUACAAGCACCUCUAUCAAUUAGAAUUGGAAGCUAGAAAAUACUUGUCAAACAAAAUUAAAAAUCUUCACAGAACUACUGAGAGACUAGCAGCAUUCAGUAGCAAUCUUUUUGUGGAGACAGGAGACCAGAACUUUCUUUACCACUCAUGGACAGUCCUAUAGUCACCUCCUGGUGGCAAUCUUAAUAAUGGUUUAGGUCUUCACAGAGAAUUUACUUCAAAAGAAUACUCAACGUUCUCUUUUUCCUGCCCAUGGACUUCACAUACCGGCAUGAAGAACAACUUGAGUGAGAUGCUGCUGGAUAUUCUCCUGUGGAAGAGCUUCUUCUCUAGAUUCACUGAUGAGUCAAAUCUAAAUGAAGACAUUCUUUAGAAAGCAUCAUGGAAAUAUGUGCCAAUUUUUUUUUAAAAAAAAUAUACAAUGUGAAAGACUUUUAAGUAGGUCUUGCAAAUGAAAGCCAGUUUUACAUCCUCAGACUGCCAAAAUGUUAGCUGUUUAUAAUUUUAAUUUUAAGCACUGAUUUAUAUGACUCUUUCUUCUUGGAGAAAUAAAAUUUGCCUAAGGCU
This is a long non-coding RNA of Lemur catta (Ring-tailed lemur), 741 nucleotides long. RefSeq lists it as uncharacterized. Lineage: Eukaryota; Metazoa; Chordata; Mammalia; Primates; Lemuridae. The record is from RefSeq and is a predicted model, not a curated record. The transcript is spliced from 3 exons.